GACGAACGCUGGCGGCGUGCUUAACACAUGCAAGUCGAACGAUGAAGCUGGAGCUUGCUCCGGUGGAUUAGUGGCGAACGGGAGAGUAACACGUGAGCAAUCUGCCCUUGACUCUGGGAUAACUGCGGGAAACUGUAGCUAAUACCGGAUACGAGGCUCGAAGGCAUCUUCGGGUCUGGAAAGAAUUUCGGUCAAGGAUGAGCUCGCGGCCUAUCAGCUUGUUGGUGAGGUAAUGGCUCACCAAGGCGACGACGGGUAGCCGGCCUGAGAGGGUGACCGGCCACACUGGGACUGAGACACGGCCCAGACUCCUACGGGAGGCAGCAGUGGGGAAUAUUGCACAAUGGGCGAAAGCCUGAUGCAGCAACGCCGCGUGAGGGAUGAAGGCCUUCGGGUUGUAGACCUCUUUUAGCAGGGAAGAAGCGAAAGUGACGGUACCUGCAGAAAAAGCACCGGCUAACUACGUGCCAGCAGCCGCGGUAA
Molecule: ribosomal RNA, 483 nt
Filed under: uncultured bacterium
Lineage: Bacteria
Description: partial 16S ribosomal RNA
Rfam family: Bacterial small subunit ribosomal RNA
Source: RNAcentral